ACAAACACACACAGGCCUGAGCUCCGGAUAUUUCUCCUGUUCUGGAGACAGUGAGAAGUGAAAGAGAAAUGGCUGCCCCUGCACCACUUACCGCGAAGGAGGCUCAAGGCUGGGGGGCCCCUCUGCCUUCCAGUGACCGCCCGUGUCACAUCCUGACCCGCUCAGCAGGAGAACACAGCAGGUCCCUCCGACCGCAGUCGGCCUCUCCAGCCUGCCAUGCCUCUGGCCAUGAGGCGACCCGCUGGAGUGAUGGAUUCCCGUCACUACCACCCACAGGGCGAGGGGGUGCAUUGGUCUGCUUGGGCCGCUGUAACAAAAUGCCACAGCCUGGAUGAGUGACUGACAUUGCUUCCCCACCGUUCUGGAGGCUGGAGGCCCGAGAUCGAGGUCCCUGACACUAUUUCAGUGAUGCCAGAGCCCAGGAGGAGUCGACCAAGCCCCAGCGUGGCCAUAAGCACCUUCGCAGGACCACGGAGUCGCUGCAGGUGUUCAGCCCUGUUGAGAGUGGGAGUCGGUGUCGAUGGUCACAGCUCAGUAACUCAUCGUCACCAGCGAGUACCACAGAGCAGACACAACUGCACUUCUCUGUAGAGCCUCCAGUCGAUACUGAGAGCCACUGGGGCGUCUGACACCCAAGGGUGCAGACAUUCACUCCAAGUCCAGAGACCGCGCCCUUUCUAAGGCCCUGUCUCACAGUCGCCCCGUGCUCAUUGUGCCGGAUGUUUCCACAGCCACAGAGACGGUGCGUGAAGGUGAGGUGCAGCCUAGUGCAUAUGACUGACAGAAACGUGAAGCCACAGUGGACGCCUGGAUGAGACACAGAUCACCUUCCAAAUCUGAGUGUGGCCUUGGGACCAACCAGGCAGCCAGGGAGAAGGCAGAGACCAGAGGGAACCCAGGUGCCCUCAAUCCCAGCCUCCUCUAUCCCAGCCUCCCAAUCCCAGCCUCCCCAAUCCCAGCCUCCUAAUCCCAGCCUCCUCCAUCCCAGGACCCCCACUCCCAGCCUCCCGAUCCCAGCUUCUCUGAUCCCAGCCUCCCCUAAAACCCAGACUCUAUGAAUCCCAGCCUCUGAGGUGGGAACUGUUAGUAACCCCACUCCAUGGACAAGAAAGCUGGGGCCUGGCGAGGCUAACAGACUAUCCUGAUGGUGUGAGGGAGGGAUCGGCCUCUGAGGGCUGCUUCCACCCAUCUCACCAGUGGCUGCAGGCUCCAGGCGCCACUUUCCUUGAGUCUAUGUUCUUUCCAAGCAUCCUGCAGCUCCAGAAGCUCUGGAGCCGCCAGCACUGAGAGAAGCGAUGGAGCUGCAUGCAGGGAAACUUUGUUGACAGCGGUGUCUGGAUGGACCAGCAGAGGGCACUCUCACCCACGGGGAAAAUCGUGCGCCCGGCCUCGUCCACCGCCAGAAGACGCCGCUACACAAUGGAGUCUCGCUCUGUCGACCAGGCUGGAGUGCAAUGGUGCGAUCUCGGCUCACUGCAAUCUCUGCCUCCCGGUGAGAGGUGAAGCCAGCUGGACUUCCUGGGUCUAGUGGGGACUUGGAGAACUUUUCUGUCUAGCUAAAGAUUUGUAAAUGCACCAAUCAGUGCUGUGUCUAGCUAAAGUUUGUAAACGUACCAAUCAGCACUCUGUAAAAAUGGGCCAAUCAGCACUCUGUAAAAUGGACCAAUCAGCACUCUGUAAAAUGGACCAGUCAGCAGGAUGUGGGCGGGGUCAAAUAAAGGAAUAAAAAGCUGGUAGCCGAGCCGGCAGUGGCAAAC
This 1757-nucleotide long non-coding RNA is filed under the name Homo sapiens (human). Its description in RNAcentral is "TERT regulating lncRNA 1". Lineage: Eukaryota; Metazoa; Chordata; Mammalia; Primates; Hominidae. The record is from RNAcentral.